This 403-nucleotide ribosomal RNA is filed under the name uncultured bacterium. Its description in RNAcentral is "partial 16S ribosomal RNA". It matches the Rfam family "Bacterial small subunit ribosomal RNA", at positions 29 to 526 of the family's 1533-position model. The record is from RNAcentral.
AUUGAACGCUGGCGGCAGGCCUAACACAUGCAAGUCGAGCGAGCGGCGGACGGGUGAGUAAUGUAUGGGGACUGCCCGAUCGAGGGGGAUAACUACUGGAAACGGUGGCUAAUACCGCAUACUAUCGGAUAACCCAUAUGGGAUUAGCUAGUAGGUGGGGUAAAGGCUCACCUAGGCGACGAUCGCUCGCUGGUCCGAGAGGAUGAACAUCCAAACUGGGCUGGGGACACGGCCCAGACUCCUACGGGGGCAGCAGUGGGGAACAUUGCAAAAUGGGCGCAAGCCGGAGACAGCCAUGCCGCGUGGAUGAAGAAGGCCUUAGGGUUGUAAAGUACUUUCAGCGGGGAGGCGUUACCCGCAGAAGAAGCCCCGGCUAACUCCGUGCCAGCAGCCGCGGUAAUAC